CUUUUGCCUCUUCUGGAUUUCAGGUAACAAAGCACCACAUUAGACACUGAAGAUAGAAAUUUGCUUAAGAUAUGGUCUCAGCAUUCAACAGGCUGGUGUUCUGGUUGAGAAGCAAUACAUGGAUCUUUCUUUCUCCUAGCCCUGGAGACUGACAAAGUCUCACUCUGUUGUCCAGGCUGGAGUGCAGUGGCGCGAUCUUGGCUCACUGCAACCUCUGCCUCCCAGGUUCAAGCGAUUCUCCUGCCUCAGCCUCCCAAGUAGCUGGGACUACAGACUUCCUCUGAUGCACAAACCUGGGAUGUGCUGUGAAAAUCAGCUACCUGGGCUUCCCACCUGUGGAUGCUCACUGACCUGGGGCCACACCAGCUGAUUUCAGGACUUCCUCAGAGAAAACACCCAGGCAAGACACCAGCAACAGAGCUACCCUGAUGAUUAUUAAAUUAGCUCUACGUGGAGAUGC
RNAcentral lists this non-coding RNA (460 nucleotides) under Pongo abelii (Sumatran orangutan). The record is from RNAcentral. Lineage: Eukaryota; Metazoa; Chordata; Mammalia; Primates; Hominidae.